GUUGGUGAACCAGCGGAGGGAUCAUUACAAGAGAGAGGCCGAAAGGCUAAUUAAAACCAUUGCGAACCUAUCCAAGUUGCUUCGGCGGCGCGGGGCCCUUCACCGGGCGCCGCUGCCCCCGGCCUCUCCGGAGGUGUGGGGCGCCCGCCGGGGGUACGAAACUCUCCUGUAUUAUAGUGGCAUCUCUGAUUUAAAACACAAAUAAGUUAAAACUUUCAACAACGGAUCUCUUGGCUCUG
RNAcentral lists this unclassified non-coding RNA (239 nucleotides) under rhizosphere metagenome. Its description in RNAcentral is "partial ribosomal RNA internal transcribed spacer region". The record is from RNAcentral.